UAGAUUUAGAAAAGAUAAAGGAGAACCGUCCAUCUCAUGAAUCAAAAUAAAUCGGAUCAAAUCUGAUUUUAAUCAUAUCCAAGUCUUGGACAUCAUUAGAAGAGAGGAAGAGACUAAAAUCAAAUCAAAUAUGAUUUUAAUGUCCAACUCUUGGACAAGGGGAGAGAGAGAAAUUUGUGUCCAUCUCAUGGACCAAGGAGGAGAGAAAAAUCAAAUCAAAUCUGAUUUCUAUGUCCAACUUUUGGACAUCUAUGUUAUAGAAGAAGGAGUGUCCAACUCUUGGACAAGGGAGAGA
Molecule: long non-coding RNA, 295 nt
Filed under: Elaeis guineensis (African oil palm)
Lineage: Eukaryota; Viridiplantae; Streptophyta; Magnoliopsida; Arecales; Arecaceae
Description: long non-coding RNA (EGUI_LNC046965)
Source: RNAcentral